RNAcentral lists this ribosomal RNA (753 nucleotides) under Klebsiella pneumoniae. RNAcentral's name for it is "bacterial SSU rRNA". It matches the Rfam family "Bacterial small subunit ribosomal RNA", at positions 767 to 1520 of the family's 1533-position model. The record is from RNAcentral. Lineage: Bacteria; Pseudomonadati; Pseudomonadota; Gammaproteobacteria; Enterobacterales; Enterobacteriaceae.
AGCAAACAGGAUUAGAUACCCUGGUAGUCCACUUCUUAAACGAUGUCGAGUUGCAGCCGAUGCCCACAAGGAGUGGCUCGUCGGCCUAACCCGAUAAAUCUAACGGCCGGGGAGUACGGCCGCAAGGUUAAAACUCAAAUGAAUUGACGGGGGCCCGCACAAGCGGUGGAGCAUGUGGUUUAAUUCGAUGCAACGCGAAGAACCUUACCUGGUCUUGACAUCCACAGAACUUUCCAGAGAUGGAUUGGUGCCUUCGGGAACUGUGAGACAGGUGCUGCAUGGCUGUCGUCAGCUCGUGUUGUGAAAUGUUGGGUUAAGUCCCGCAACGAGCGCAACCCUUAUCCUUUGUUGCCAGCGGUUAGGCCGGGAACUCAAAGGAGACUGCCAGUGAUAAACUGGAGGAAGGUGGGGAUGACGUCAAGUCAUCAUGGCCCUUACGACCAGGGCUACACACGUGCUACAAUGGCAUAUACAAAGAGAAGCGACCUCGCGAGAGCAAGCGGACCUCAUAAAGUAUGUCGUAGUCCGGAUUGGAGUCUGCAACUCGACUCCAUGAAGUCGGAAUCGCUAGUAAUCGUAGAUCAGAAUGCUACGGUGAAUACGUUCCCGGGCCUUGUACACACCGCCCGUCACACCAUGGGAGUGGGUUGCAAAAGAAGUAGGUAGCUUAACCUUCGGGAGGGCGCUUACCACUUUGUGAUUCAUGACUGGGGUGAAGUCGUAACAAGGUAACCGUAGGGGAACCUGCGGUUG